RNAcentral lists this transfer RNA (74 nucleotides) under Endomicrobium sp. RNAcentral describes it as "tRNA-Pro". It matches the Rfam family "tRNA". From Rfam's summary of the family: Transfer RNA (tRNA) molecules are approximately 80 nucleotides in length. Lineage: Bacteria; Pseudomonadati; Elusimicrobiota; Endomicrobiia; Endomicrobiales; Endomicrobiaceae. The record is from RNAcentral.
CGGGGCGUGGCAUAGCUGGUUAGUGCACUCCCUUGGGGUGGGAGAGAUCGCUGGUUCGAAUCCAGUCGUCCCGA